This is a non-coding RNA of Nomia melanderi (Alkali bee), 4728 nucleotides long. The record is from RefSeq and is a predicted model, not a curated record. NCBI's taxonomy places the organism in Eukaryota, Metazoa, Arthropoda, Insecta, Hymenoptera, Halictidae.
ACAGUAAACAACUAUUCAACGAGCCAUGCAGUAAACGUAACGUCGACCAAACUAUAAGUACCAAGACAGCAAACGGUACGCAAACAAUCGGUAUGCGUGCAUCAUUCUCUGAAAAAGGCACGUCAAGACAAAAGCAGUGUCGCUCGGUCAACGGUAUCGCGAAUGAUUAGAGGCAAAGGGAACGUUAGCCACCUGGCAAUACCAGUAGCUAAAGUCCGGUUCCAGAGAAUCAUCGAGGUACUGGGAAACUACUGCUCCUGGCUCCAGCUAGCCGAAUUCCAAGAAGGAAGCGUUCGUUUAUAGUCCUACCGGAUCUACACGGCAAUCUACGCGAUGAUCUUCAAUUACAAGGAUGCAGAGCGAGGCAGGGGACCCAACGGGCCCAUAAAGAGAGCUGCGGACCGGACGGUCAACGGAGGAUAUCGCGAUUACAGGAAAGACGAAUGUCGAGAGAAUGGCGAGAUGAAAUUCUCAUGUUUGAAACGCUGAGCGAACGGAUGAUUUAGUUGUUGGGAUGGCAAGAGGGACGUCGUUGGAGAAACGGGAACGCGAGUGGCUGGAGGAACAGCGGACCUCUUCGGGAACGGACGUUUCAGGAAUAAAAGAAGACAUUCGUCAUACAUCACGUAAUUGAAAUGAAAGCCACGUCUGCAUAUGAUGCUCGAAGAAGACAAGAGGCGAUCAAGGAUCCUCGGGGAACAAUGUUGGAAUAAGAAUUCUGGGAUUAGUGUAAUCGUGGCCAAGAUAUAGUAGGUUGUACAUUAACCCUUUGCGGAGGAAGACUCAUUAAAGUAUAAAGCAUAUGAAAUUAAAUCAUACAAUAGAUGCUUAAACAAUAGAAAGGAAACUAUACAUUCUCUUGGUGUUUGAGUAAUUGAAUCAUUAGUCUAAUUUAGUAUUCCAAAUAUGAGAAUUUCAUCUCUCCAAAAUGUCUAGAGUCGUCCGCAAAGGGUUAAGCUUGGAAGGUAGAACCUAAACUCUGAAAUUCCAGUCAGUCUCGAGUAAUUAACGUUCCUGUUGAUUCACUUAUCCUGUCACUUGAAACAUUUACUUCACACGACUUCUUACUAUGCAACUUCACUAUAUCUUUGCAACGGUAACACGGUUGCUGCGAAAAAUCCUCAGGUACUCUUCACUGCUCAGAGAUAUCGGAGCAAGAGAGGCUUCUGUUUAUAGUUUCAAUUCGUAAUCGCAUAGAGAAUCAGAUAAGAAUUUAAACUGUCCAAUUGCUCUCAAAACUGUCCUGAGCAGCGCAGAAUACACAUUUGCGAUCAGAAAAUAAGCGUCAGACGAAAGUACCUGAUUGUCCAUGAGAGGACGCCGCGUUCCGUGUUGGUCGUCCGCUGGGUCCGGAGGCGGAAUCGUGCGCGAGUCGAGGAGCCUUAGAAAACGACUUCCGUGGGAAGUCUCCGUGAGUUCCUUCAGGGACACAAUAGAGUAGGGACGAGCGAACGGGCGCGCGCGCUUGUGUGCGCUUGCUUGCGCGAUAACGCUAAACGAGGGAACGCGAGCGACGAGUAGUUAGUUAGUCGGUUCUGUGCCGGUCGCGAUUCAGCUCCGCGAGCACGAAGAUCGCCGUCGCGUCGGCGAAUCCCAGCCGAGCGACGCGUGGUCACGCAACGCGGCGUUUCAUUGAGACACGGCCGGCCCGCGGACGCGACGAGAAACGGCGUGAGCGUGCACGCCGCGCGUGCAACGAUCGCAGAAGCGGAUCACCGGAGUUCCAGACGCGCGCGUUAGAUCGCGAAAGUCGCCGAGCUGGCACUAGCGAGUCCUCGACUAUAUGCCGCUUUAUGUAGCCCCGCGAGCCGGGGCCUGUGUAUCACGUGGCGCGCGCCGAAUACGUCCGAUCCGCGCACGGAAUUAACGCUACAACUGCCGAGCCAGCCGAGCCGACUGUGAUCUUUCUCGCGCGGAUCGUAACAGCGCGUUUAUGGGAAUUUUAAUUAACCCCGCCUCGCGUUACCGGGUACGUUUGUCGAGUAAUUUCUCCGACGAUCGCUCGCAUCUUUGACAAACCCGGAACGGUAGCGAUUGGUAGUGUUAACCCUUUGCACUCCAAAGGUGCAUCAAAGUUGUAUAAUUGUAUUUAACAUUGAGUCUCGAGUAAUCUGUCGAUACGUGAAAUGUGGAAAUAGAUUCCUCGUUAAGUUACUUUAAGAGAAUGUCAUCUGUAUCUCAUAGAAGUAAAUUGAAUAAUUCUAGUGACAAAUUUCUGGAGUGCGAAGGGUUAAUUCGCGGAACGACGAUCGAGCCGCUUGAUCCAAGGAUCGCGAUCCCCGAAUUUUCAUAUUUGAUGUCGCCGAGCGACCGGCGCUUAGGCGAAACAAAUGAGACGGGUGAAAGUGAUGCGAUGAAAGCGGAUGGACUGCGAUUGAAUAAUUGAGUAACGACGGUGUUUUGGAAUUCCACGAGGUGCGGAAAUAGGUUGAGCUGCUAGGAUACUUGAGCUUCCAUUGAUUCUGUAUUUUGAAUUGUUUCGAAUUCUUGUUACUCCGAGAUUUGAAUUCUUGUUACUCCGAGACUCGUUUGAGCUCUGUGUACCCUCGUGCUCGUGCAACAGAGUCCCCGUUACUCGAUCCUCGCUUCGAAUAUUCCAAGGGAGACGCUACAGCACGAUGCUCCAUUUUGAGUUCAAGUAUUCGAGUACUUCAGCGCUCCGUUCCGCACUCGACUCCGUCGACAAUACUCGUUAAAGCGUUGUACCUUCGCGUCCGCUUUUCAAGAAAUUCUGCGAGCACUCUUGAAGCGCUUGAGGGGCGGACGGCACUCGCGACAUGAAUUCAAUUACCAUCGCAAUUCCGCGGGGACUCCUUUAUCCGUCCGCCCCUCCCCCGCCCCCGCCGAUUGAUCGAACGCGGACGGUUAUUACAAUGUUAACGAACGCUUCCUAAAGAGAAAUGAAAAACGAAGAAGUGGGACUGGCUCGUGUCCCCCCAUCGGGGUCGUCAAUCAAUACCAAUUUCCUUAAAUCAAACCGGAACGGUUCUAAAGUGGAACGCUUUAAACGCGGCUUGAUUCGAAAACAAAAGCCAACGGCAUGCAUACACACGACACGCACACGCACACACGCGCACAUGCGUAACGAUCACAUGCAACCGGUGCGCGUCGCAACGCCAAUCGAUCGGAUCGAUAAUAAAUUCGCGCAGCGACAAUGCUCUUUCUACGCUAAAAAAAGAGAGACAAGAAUUGUUUAAAAUAUCGUCGAAGCGUAUCGAUCACAAACAACAAGCAGAUUGACGCGUUCGCCGCCGACCUCGCGUAUCCGUAGGAAAAUUCAAUUAACACUAGAAUUCCUGACUUCUUUCAGAAUUACUGCGAAGACGCUUCUUUAAGAAUUAAUAAUAAUUAACAACUAAAGAAGCUAAUUUACCAGUACCUAAACUCAAAUAUAAAUUCAUAACUUUCAUACAGAAAUGUUCAAAACAAUUCAAGUGCUCGGUAGUUCUAGUGUUAAUCCAGUAUUCAAUUCUCCAUAUACUUUUCAAACGACUUCACAAAUGCGAUGCACAUCAAUUGUUAGAAUACUCCAAACUACAAAGAUUAACACGUUAAGCGCCACGAAAAUCUUAAGCGUUUUCCCAUAGUUUGUCUUUUGUAGCAAAGUAAAGUAGGAAUACUUAUGAAUUGUUUGGCGUCGCAACGUUCGCGUUACACUAUCAUCAACUCAGUUGCCUUAUUAAACUUUUUUAUUUCACGUCGGUUGUCUUGUACGUUACGAUUGUCUUUUAGUCAUUCGGAAGCGUCGGUCACCAGUGACUGACAUGGCGCUUAACGUGUUAACGCAUCGAGCGGCAGCGAACGCGUCUCGUCGGAAGCGACAGGGAACAAAGCCCGUUCGGCGGAAGGGUUGAAAACGUACAGCGGAUCGUUCGGGGAGAAGCGUAGGAGGGAACGGGGCGGCACAGAAGGGAAUCGUCCUUACUUUUCCGCUGGGCUUGUAGCACGCUCUGACGUCUACCAUAUUGUUCAACAAGGUGUGACUGUCAUCCGCGUUGUCCAGGCCCAAUUUCUCCGCGAGUUCCUCCCUCGUGCGUAUCAUUUCCCAGUUUGCGAUAUUAUAUCCCAUAGAAGACUCUUUUGAUUAUCCACGGAACAGUCUGCACACGUUCGGCCUCGCGUCUUGCCUCUCGCCUCUGCGUCUCGCCUGCGUCCGCCUCGUCGUCGCACGCCGUACUCUCUAAGCCGAUCAGUCGUUCGCGCAGCGAACAGUCUCUCCGCUUCUGUACCUACGCGCCGGAGAAGAACAACAACCGCUCACGACUCAGUAUCAUGGGGGAAAAAAUGCGCCACGUGCGAACGCCACCGUCCACUCGAUUUCGUAAUUCACUCACUGUGAACCCGGCGGCACAUGGAUGCGGCGCGGCACGGCGCGGCGCGGCGCGGAGCGGAGCGGCGUGGCGUAUCGAUUCCCCGCGCGCGACGUGCGCGCAACACGUAAACACACGAAGGAAGCUCGCCGCCCCGAGAGGAGACCGGAGAAAUGUCGGAUCCGAGCGAGCUACGCCGCGCCGCGUUCGCCAGCGACUCCAGAGCGCACCGACUCGCUCCGCGGAGUAACGACUUUAUUAUUUCACUCGCGGGCAGAAAGCGCGACCUUUUCGUUCGCCAGCUGCGCGUCGCGCAUCGUUCAUCCUCCUCCACGGUUCCCCGUGUAGAGGGAUGAGCGCGACAUAUACAGGGUAGGCGAGAAGUGCGAGCAACGCCGCGCCGCCUCUCCCCUCCAAA